RNAcentral lists this ribosomal RNA (492 nucleotides) under uncultured bacterium. Its description in RNAcentral is "partial 16S ribosomal RNA". It matches the Rfam family "Bacterial small subunit ribosomal RNA", at positions 29 to 507 of the family's 1533-position model. The record is from RNAcentral.
AGUGAACGCUGGCGGUAGGCCUAACACAUGCAAGUCGAACGGCAGCACAGUAAGAGCUUGCUCUUACGGGUGGCGAGUGGCGGACGGGUGAGGAAUACAUCGGAAUCUACUUUUUCGUGGGGGAUAACGUAGGGAAACUUACGCUAAUACCGCAUACGACCUACGGGUGAAAGCAGGGGAUCUUCGGACCUUGCGCGAUUGAAUGAGCCGAUGUCGGAUUAGCUAGUUGGCGGGGUAAAGGCCCACCAAGGCGACGAUCCGUAGCUGGUCUGAGAGGAUGAUCAGGCACCAUGGGGCUGUGACGGAGACAGGGCGCAGCAGCGCGGCAGCAGUGGCGAUUAGGGGACAAGGGGCGCAAGCUGGAUACAGCCAUACUGCGUGGAAGAAGAAGGCCUUCGUGUUGUACAGCCCUUUUGUUGGGAAAGAAAAGCAGCAGGCUGAUACCCCGCUGUUCUGACGGUACCCAAAUAAUAAGCACCGGCUACCUUCGUG